Long non-coding RNA from Ctenopharyngodon idella (grass carp), 1247 nucleotides. RefSeq lists it as uncharacterized. The transcript has 2 exons. The record is from RefSeq and is a predicted model, not a curated record. Lineage: Eukaryota; Metazoa; Chordata; Actinopteri; Cypriniformes; Xenocyprididae.
CCCCUAGAGUUUUACGCAGUGUUAUACAAGUUCAGUGCAGUACUGUAGUUUUCCUGUAGGGGCCACUGUAUGAUCUGGUUAAUAGAGACGUAAAGAUUAGGAGAAGGAGACUGAUCGUAGCUGGUACGCACGAGGUGAUUUAGCGCUGCAUUUGAAAUAUUAUAAUUAUAACUUCACAAAAGUACUUUUCUGAUGUUUAAAUGUGUAAACUUUUCAUAUAAAUUGCAGUAUGUUCAUGGGUUUCAAAAGGAAAUCGAAUUCACAUUGAUGUUGAUUGAGAAGUUAUUUCUGCGAACUCUGACUGUUUUUUUGUUGUUGCCCGAUUCCAUCCGGUGACCUGAUCAACUGUGAGCUUAUGUGAGCUAUGGCUAGCCAGACCCUGUGAUUCUGUGAAGGCCUUACUGUUUACGUUCAACUCGAACCUGUCUUCAUCGAGGGAUUCUUUCCAAUUACAGCUAAGCUGUCAUUUUACACACACUACCCGGGUAGUAGGGAAAAGAAGGCCUUAUACAUACAUUCGUUUUAUACCACUCACCAACUUGCGAAGGAACCAGGAGGACUUUUGGACAUUUUCUUUUCUUUACUUUAUUUUCUUCUUUCUCGGACCUUUUAUGCACAACCUGGACUAAAUAUCGAAUUUUUCCCAUUCCAGCAGUGUUGUGUUGGGACGAUACAGCAAAGUAUUAACUUGUUUCUUCUAUUAUUUUUUUUUUUCUGUUUAUAUGUGCAAUAAAUGUGCUGGCUGUUACCUGCUUCAUACCAUUUGGCCCAAAUUUCAUUUUUAUCCUCCCAAGAGUCGAACCUAGCCCUAUACCUAUUCAGAGUAAUAUAACAUAGUGUUAUACUGACAAUUGUUGCCGUGUUACAACUUUUUUCUACCACAUCUUUUCCUUCCCUUCACCUCUCUAUUAAUGUGCUUGGACACAGAGCUCUGUGAACAGCCAGCCUCUUUUGCAAUGACCUUUUGUGUCUUGCCCUCCUUGUGCAAGGUGUCAAUGGUCGUCUUUUGGACAACUGUCAAGUCAGCAGUCUUCCCCAUGAUUGUGUAGCCUACAGAACUAGACUGAGAGACCAUUUAAAGGCCUUUGCAGGUGUUUUGAGUUAAUUAGCUGAUUAGAGUGUGGCACCAGGUGUCUUCAAUCUUGAACCUUUUCACAAUAUUCUAAUUUUCUGAGAUACUAAAUUUGGGAUUUUCCUUAGUUGUCAGUUAUAAUCAUCAAAAUUAAAAUAAAUAAACAUUUGAAAUA